Molecule: long non-coding RNA, 2925 nt
Organism: Anas platyrhynchos (mallard)
Lineage: Eukaryota; Metazoa; Chordata; Aves; Anseriformes; Anatidae
Source: RefSeq, a predicted model, not a curated record
GCUUAUCCCCCUGCUGAUGCUUGUGAGGGCAUUCAGCUGGUGUCCGUCUCACCGGUAUAAAUCCCACCUGUGGUGGGGGAGCUCUGGUUGCUGAAUCUCUGGUGCUUGGGCUGCUCGGGACUUGCUGAGACCAGGCUCAUCCCAAGGUAUACAGCCAAAGCUGCACCACCAUGUCUGAGGUCUUCGGCUGGCCUGGUGGUGGUGGAAGAGAACUGGUGGCUGGUGGAGAGGUAAUGCCAGCCUCCUUGCCUGUGCUUUGCCUACAACUCCAGGAUGAAGAUAUAAAGGAUUAUUUUGAAAAAUGCAUUAAAACCACAGUCACUGGGCAUUGGGCCUGUGAUCUUAUGCUGGGGUUUGAGGAGAGCUUACACCUGGAGGUGAGAUGCACAGGUACUAAAUAUUGCAGCUUGUAUUUGGACUGGACAGCACCGCGAGCUAUUCCUGAUAAAUUGUAUUUCCUGUGUGUACGUGGGGUGGUUUCUACUCUGUUGGUGCUAUUCUGCUCCUGAUGGAACGUUGGUGAGGGUGGUUUGACCAGCGGUGGGGUGUUUUGGUGCCUCUCCCCUUGUCUUCUGCUGUGUGGCAGAGCCCUGCUGGUUCCUCCUGGUGGUACACCUGAAUUUCUGAGCUGUGAAGCUAACGAGUUCAGGAAAAAUAAGUAGUAUGAAAGAUGUAGCGCAAAUAUUUUUAGCUCAUGUAUUCCACACCAUGCCAGUUUUUUAUGCUGCAUUGUAAUGCACUAAAUGUAGACCGUGUGGUUGUAAAUGUAAUACUAAAACCACCCCUGUGUUCAGUGCUGGAGCCCCCCUGAGAAGCCGGGACAUGCAGGGGUUUUCUCUGGCCCGUUACCUGCUGCAUCGCCUCCAGCUCCCGGCUCUGCCUGGUGCGUGGCUGUCUCAGGCUUCUGGUAAUCCCUCUUAAUAACCUUGUUGGUGGCAAGAAGACCAAGUGAGAUAUCCAAAGCAAGCGGGUAUUAAAUGAAUGUUUCUUUGUCUGUUACUGAGACGGGGGCAUUGGUACCAACCUGAAAGAUAUUGUUGUCUGUCUGGCACUGAUGCAGCAAGAUCCCAUUUAGUGGCAUCACUCAGGACUUGUCAUAUUACGGUAUGUCACAACAUGUCAGCCUGUGACAGGCUGGAUACCUGCUAUUAGCUUGCAGACUAGCAGCAAACACAAAGUGCAGGUGGUGAGCGAAGGCAGCGGCUGGAGCAGAGCAGAGGGAGCGCCUCCGGGCACUCAGGGGCUGCUCCUGCACGCCCGGGGCUCGGCUGGCACGCGGGAACGUCCCGGAGCAGGGCAGGAUUCUGGAAAUGCAGGCGUGACCCAGGAGCCCGGGGCCCUCUGAGCUGUGUGAGUACUCUGGUGUUUGCUUUCUUUGGUGCUUCAACUGGUAAAAAGCCUGUACACGAGCUGGAUACCACAGUCCCUGUGAGAUGUGCAUGGGCCAGGAGCACAAACUCCUGCAGGUUUAAUGGAAAUCCCAGCUGUAAUCCUUGCUGCGACUUUCCUGAGCUGAUAGUUCCUCCAAAGACACAAACAUAAACUAAAAAUGCCUGCUAAUGUGCCCCAGCCGAACAAAAGGCUCCUGCUACACAGAUGAAAAAGCUCUGAGCUGCAACGCAAACUGGGGAGAGAAAGCAGGAGAGAGCAAGGGACCUUCGGGUGCUGCUGUGCUGGGAAUGCUCAGGUGGCCGAACCAGAGACAAAAGCAGCCUCCAGACAGCCAGGUUUGGGUAAAAUUCCAUCCUGACACCAAAGCAUCGGCUUAAUCCUGAAACAGCACCAGCCUGCAGGGCUGUCAGCGUUACUGGAAGAAACAGCUCGUGCAGCCCACAUCCCCUCUGCAGCUGGGGCUGGUGUCUGAUGUUUGGGGAAGGGGGGGGACAGCAAAAACACUGGCAGCAAAGGUCUGCACCAGGCGGCUGGGGAAUGUCCUCCUGCCUCUGGCCUGCAGAGGUCCCUGAGGUAUGAGUUCAAUUAAUUGGCUGCCUGUGAGCGUAGUACACCAAACACAGUAGAUCAAGUCUCCUUUUGCCCCCGUUGGUGACAUGACUCAAGCCUCAGAUCGCAGGUUUAAUGACAGGAUCACCCUGUUUUGUCACGCAGUUCCACCCAUCAACUUUGCAAGCUCUGUUUGAAGGCUGGUGGUGUGCUCUGCCUCCAUGCCCGUGAUACCAGCCUGGGGCUGAGCAGGGAGUCCUGCAGCAGGAGAUGGUGUCUGCAGGAGAGAGCACAGCCUGAGCCACGCGGGCUCCUUCUGGGCCCCUUCUGCCGGGGCUGCUGGUGCGGUGCCCGGAGCUGCUCCCUGGCUGUGCCGCAGCCUGGAGCUGGGCCCUUCCUGGGCACCACGGGCUGGCUGCAGGGGGGAAGCCGAGCCCUGGCCGUGCUGGUGGCCAGAGCAGAGCGUGCGAGCUGCUGCUGAAAUCCUGGCACCUCGCUGUGUUGGUGCUGGCUCUCGGUGUGCGCGCUUGGAGCCGUGGCAGCCACAUCUUCCAGCAGGAUGUGCCGGGACACAGCUCUGUCUGCUCCUGCCCGGGACAGGACCGGGCUGGUGGGCAGCGCGGAUGGACCGUGACCAUCUGGCUGGGGCAGGGGCUUCCAAGCAGAGCGUCCCCUGCCACCCAGCGGGCUGGUCCUCUGUGCUCGAGCUCCGUGUCACAGCCCAAAUCCCUUGUCUUUCACAAAGUUCUUUACGUGAUAACAAGCCUGAGAGCAGGCUGACUUAUAUUUGUUUUAUUAUUAAGCUGAUGAGGUUAUUUAGCCUGUUAUAUGCCCCAUUAAAUUCAGUGUUUGAAAUUCUGCGGAGAGCUGGAGCUUUGCAGAGCGGGCAUGCCCUGCGCUCAUCAGCGACACUCGUGGUGUUUGUCUUGGAGCACCCAAACCACGCGGCCGCUGCUUGCUCCCUGGGUUCCCUUUCCUUGCAGA